Ciona savignyi (Pacific transparent sea squirt) is the source of this 73-nucleotide non-coding RNA. Lineage: Eukaryota; Metazoa; Chordata; Ascidiacea; Phlebobranchia; Cionidae. The record is from Rfam.
GCACGGUUAACUCAGCCGUUACAGCAUUAUAAUUUUAAUCCAACGAUCAAGGGUUCAAGUCCCUUAUCGGGCU